GAUGAACGCUGGCGGCGUGCCUAAUACAUGCAAGUCGAGCGAACGGACGAGAAUCUUGCUUCUCUUAUGUUAGCGGCGGACGUGUGAGUAACACGUGGAUAACCUACCUAUAAGACUUGGAUAACUUCGUGAAACCUGAGCUAAUACCGUAUAAUAUUUUGAACCUCAUGGUUCAUACGUUCAAGACGUUCUUGCUGUCACUUAUAGAUGGUUCCGCGCUGCAUUAGCUAGUUGGUAAGGUAACGGCUUACCAAGGCAACGAUGCAUAGCCGACCUGAGAGGGUGAUCGGCAACACUGGAAGUGAGACACGGUACAGACUGCUACGGGAGGCAGCAGUAGGGAAUAUUCCGCAAUGGGCGAAAGCAUGACGGAGCAACGCCGCGUGAGAGAUGAAGGUGUGCGGAUCGUAAAACACUGUUAUUAGGGAAGAAAAUAUGUGUAAGUAAAUGUGCACAUAUUGACGGUAAAAAAUCAAAAAGCAACGGCGAACUACGUG
RNAcentral lists this ribosomal RNA (497 nucleotides) under uncultured bacterium. Its description in RNAcentral is "partial 16S ribosomal RNA". It matches the Rfam family "Bacterial small subunit ribosomal RNA", at positions 28 to 507 of the family's 1533-position model. The record is from RNAcentral.